CACGUAGGCACCAAGCGUUGUCCGGAUUUAUUGGGCGUAAAGAGCUCGUAGGCGGUUCGGUAAGUCGGGUGUGAAAACUCUGGGCUCAACCCAGAGCCGCCACCCGAUACUGCUGUGACUAGAGUGCGGUAGGGGAGCGGGGAACUCCUGGUGUAGCGGUGAAAUGCGCAGAUAUCAGGAAGAACACCAGUGGCGAAGGCGCCGCUCUGGGCCGUGACUGACGCUGAGGAGCGAAAGCGUGGGGAGCGAACAGG
RNAcentral lists this ribosomal RNA (254 nucleotides) under uncultured bacterium. RNAcentral describes it as "partial 16S ribosomal RNA". It matches the Rfam family "Bacterial small subunit ribosomal RNA", at positions 524 to 776 of the family's 1533-position model. The record is from RNAcentral.